Molecule: ribosomal RNA, 476 nt
Filed under: uncultured bacterium
Lineage: Bacteria
Description: SSU rRNA
Rfam family: Bacterial small subunit ribosomal RNA
Source: RNAcentral
AGAACGAACGCUGGCGGCAUGCCUAACACAUGCAAGUCGAACGCUCUUGGGGCUUCGGUCUCAGGGGAGUGGCGCACGGGUGAGUAGCGCGUGGGAACCUGCCCUGUUGUGGGGGAUAACCGAGGGAAAACUUCGGCUAAUACCGCAUAAGCCGGUUGUCUUGAAGGAGAUGGCCGGGAAAGAUUUAUCGCGACAGGAGGGGCCCGCGUCGGAUUAGCUAGUUGGUGGGGUAACGGCCCACCAAGGCGGUGAUCCGUAGCUGGUCUGAGAGGAUGAUCAGCCACACUGGGACUGAGACACGGCCCAGACUCCUACGGGAGGCAGCAGUGGGGAAUAUUGGACAAUGGGCGCAAGCCUGAUCCAGCAAUGCCGCGUGAGUGAUGAAGGCCUUAGGGUUGUAAAGCUCUUUCGCCCGCGACGAUGAUGACGGUAGCGGGAGAAGAAGCCCCGGCUAACUUCGCGCCAGCAGCCGCGGU